GGCUGGUCCGAAGGUAGUGAGUUAUCUCAAUUGAUUGUUCACAGUCAGUACAGAUUGAACUCCUUGUUCUACUCUUUCACCCUUCUCACUACUGUACUUGACUAGUCUUAA
This is an unclassified non-coding RNA of Cavia porcellus (domestic guinea pig), 111 nucleotides long. It matches the Rfam family "Y RNA". From Rfam's summary of the family: Y RNAs are components of the Ro ribonucleoprotein particle (Ro RNP), in association with Ro60 and La proteins. The record is from Ensembl. Lineage: Eukaryota; Metazoa; Chordata; Mammalia; Rodentia; Caviidae.